Molecule: transfer RNA, 77 nt
Filed under: Verrucomicrobiota bacterium
Lineage: Bacteria; Pseudomonadati; Verrucomicrobiota
Description: Verrucomicrobia bacterium (freshwater metagenome) tRNA-Ile
Rfam family: tRNA
About the family: Transfer RNA (tRNA) molecules are approximately 80 nucleotides in length.
Source: RNAcentral
AGUCGCAUAGCUCAGCGGGUUAGAGCGCCGGGCAGAUAACCCGGAGACCGAUGGUUCGAACCCAUCUGUGACUACCA